RNAcentral lists this ribosomal RNA (330 nucleotides) under uncultured bacterium. Its description in RNAcentral is "bacterial SSU rRNA". It matches the Rfam family "Bacterial small subunit ribosomal RNA", at positions 568 to 898 of the family's 1533-position model. The record is from RNAcentral.
UCUGUAGGCGGUGCGGCAAGUCGGGAGUGAAAUCUCAGGGCUUAACCCUGAGGCUGCUUUCGAAACUGCCGUGCUCGAGUGUGGGAGAGGUGAGUGGAAUUGCAGGUGUAGCGGUGAAAUGCGUAGGUAUCUGCAGGAACACCAGAGGCGAAGGCGGCUCACUGGACCACAACUGACGCUGAGAGACGAAAGCUAGGGGAGCAAACAGGAUUAGAUACCCUGGUAGUCCUAGCCCUAAACCAUCAGGACUUGGCGUGGGUCCCUUUCGGGGCCCGUGUCGGAGCUAACGCGUGAAGUCCUGCGCCUGGGGAGUACGGCCGCAAGGCUGAA